GAUGAACGCUGGCGGUAUGCCUAACACAUGCAAGUCGUACGAGAGUUUUUAACUCUAGUGGCGGACGGGUGAGUAACACGUGAGAAUUUGCCUUUAGGAGGGGGACGACAAUUGGAAACGAAUGCUAAUACCCCAUAUGCUUUCGAGUGAAAUGGAUUUUAUCCGCCUAGAAAGAAGCUCGCGGCUGAUUAGCUUGUUGGUAAGGUAAGAGCUUACCAAGGCGACGAUCAGUAUCUGGUUUGAGAGGACGAUCAGACACACUGGAACUGAGACACGGUCCAGACUCCUACGGGAGGCAGCAGUGGGGAAUUUUCCGCAAUGGGCGAAAGCCUGACGGAGCAAUACCGCGUGAGGGAAGAAUGCCUAUGGGUUGUAAACCUCUUUUUUCAGGGAGGAAUAAAAUGACGUGUACCUGAAGAAUAAGCAUCGGCUAACUCCGUG
Molecule: ribosomal RNA, 441 nt
Filed under: uncultured bacterium
Lineage: Bacteria
Description: bacterial SSU rRNA
Rfam family: Bacterial small subunit ribosomal RNA
Source: RNAcentral